This 331-nucleotide unclassified non-coding RNA is filed under the name Exophiala sp. RNAcentral's name for it is "partial contains 5.8S ribosomal RNA, internal transcribed spacer 2, and large subunit ribosomal RNA". The stretch from base 1 to 71 matches the Rfam family "5.8S ribosomal RNA", at positions 84 to 154 of the family's 154-position model. The record is from RNAcentral. Lineage: Eukaryota; Fungi; Ascomycota; Eurotiomycetes; Chaetothyriales; Herpotrichiellaceae.
GUGAAUCAUCGAAUCUUUGAACGCACAUUGCGCCCUUUGGCAUUCCGAAGGGCAUGCCUGUUCGAGCGUCAUUAUCACCCCUCAAGCCCCCCUUCUUAACUGAAGCCGGCUUGGUGUUGGACGGCUUGGUGUCAGCAAUGUCACCCCUCCUAAAGACAAUGACGGCGGCUUCGUGAGACCCCCGGUACACUGAGUUCCUCACCGAACACGUACUGGAUCAUGGGUAGACGGAGCCCCGGUCGACCUCCCUUCACAGGGAGAUUUCUUCUCAGGUUGACCUCGGAUCAGGUAGGAAUACCCGCUGAACUUAAGCAUAUCAAUAAGCGGAGGA